RNAcentral lists this ribosomal RNA (711 nucleotides) under Triticum aestivum (bread wheat). Its description in RNAcentral is "partial small subunit ribosomal RNA". Lineage: Eukaryota; Viridiplantae; Streptophyta; Magnoliopsida; Poales; Poaceae. The record is from RNAcentral.
AUGUGCUGGAACAUGCGAGGUUUAAACUCGCCAGCCAAGAGGGAGGCUGUGCGGGAAGGGGUCGCGGCUCACCAUGUCGCCAUCCUCUGCCUCCAAGAGACAAAGUUAGAUGCUUGGACUCCUGAUUUAGUUAGAGACAUCGGCGAUAGCACUCUGCUAGGAUGUGGCAUGUUGUCGCCGAUCUGUACGCGCGGAGGCGUCGCCAUCCUUUGGAACAAAGAUGUAGUAACGGUCUACACCCAUGCCAUCGGCCAGUUUGCGAUCACCGCUAGGGUUACCCAAACCUGCAACCUCACGAGCUUCUGGCUCACCACGGUCUAUGGACCGGCCGACGACGCGAACAAGGAUGAUUUCCUUGCUGAGGUAGCUAGGACUGCUCCUCUGGCCACCGAGCCAUGGCUGGUCAACGGCGACUUCAAUCUAAUCUACGAGGCCAGGGACAAAAACAAUCACAACAUCAAAAGGCGGCUUAUGGGCCGUUUUAGAACUGCGGUAGACGGAGCUGGGCUUCGGCAGAUCAAGUGCAAUAAUCGCAAGUUUACUUGGAGUAGCGAGAGGGAAAAUCCAACCCUAGUUAGCAUGGAUAAGUUCUUCUGCAACUCGCACUGGGAGGCCCUCUUCCCGCAGGUCCUGUUGAUGGCGGCGUCCACCGCGUGCACCGACCACUGCCCACUCAUGCUAGCUGAUGCAAUGGGACCUCGACGGCAGUGA